UACGUAGGUGGCGAGCGUUGUCCGGAAUUACUGGGCGUAAAGGGCGUGUAGGCGGCCUUUUAAGUCAGAUGUGAAAUCUCAGGGCUUAACCCUGAAACUGCAUUUGAAACUGGAGGGCUUGAGGACCGGAGAGGGCAGUGGAAUUCCCAGUGUAGCGGUGAAAUGCGUAGAUAUUGGGAGGAACACCAGUGGCGAAGGCGACUGCCUGGACGGGACCUUACGCUGAGGCGCGAAAGCUAGGGGAGCAAACGGG
RNAcentral lists this ribosomal RNA (253 nucleotides) under uncultured bacterium. RNAcentral's name for it is "partial 16S ribosomal RNA". It matches the Rfam family "Bacterial small subunit ribosomal RNA", at positions 524 to 776 of the family's 1533-position model. The record is from RNAcentral.